This 301-nucleotide ribosomal RNA is filed under the name uncultured bacterium. RNAcentral describes it as "partial 16S ribosomal RNA". It matches the Rfam family "Bacterial small subunit ribosomal RNA", at positions 509 to 807 of the family's 1533-position model. The record is from RNAcentral.
CAGCAGCCGCGGUAAUACGGAGGGAGCUAGCGUUGUUCGGAAUUACUGGGCGUAAAGCGCGCGUAGGCGGUUACUCAAGCCAGAGGUGAAAGCCCGGGGCUCAACCCCGGAACUGCCUUUGAAACUAGGUGACUAGAAUCUUGGAGAGGUCAGUGGAAUUCCGAGUGUAGAGGUGAAAUUCGUAGAUAUUCGGAAGAACACCAGUGGCGAAGGCGACUGACUGGACAAGUAUUGACGCUGAGGUGCGAAAGCGUGGGGAGCAAACAGGAUUAGAUACCCCUGUAGUCCCUGUCUCUUAUAC